Molecule: long non-coding RNA, 2106 nt
Filed under: Homo sapiens (human)
Lineage: Eukaryota; Metazoa; Chordata; Mammalia; Primates; Hominidae
Description: HSALNT0125247
Source: RNAcentral
GCUGCUGCAGGCUGAGGCUGCGGCAGAGGCGGCGAGGCGCGGGCGGUGAGGACGGACAGUCACCGACUUAGUCCAGUUCCCUGUGAUCUCAAAACAAUUGUUGCAGCAGGCUCCUGGCAGUCUCAAGCAGUUCAUCUUCUUGGUGUACUGGUUUCCUAUUGUGAUUUUAUCAUGGAAAAUCAAUUGGCUAAAUCAACUGAAGAACGAACAUUUCAGUACCAGGAUUCUCUUCCAUCACUGCCUGUUCCUUCACUUGAAGAAUCAUUAAAAAAAUACCUUGAAUCAGGUAUGUUAAUAAUCUUUUAGUAUAUAUUAAUAUUAUUAGUAACUUAGAAAACUGUGAUACUGUUGCUGGAGAAGGGGUCUCGAUCCAGACUCUAAGAGAGAGUUAGAGUUCUUGGAUCUCUUGCAGGAAGGAAUUCAAGGUGAGUUGCAGAGUGCAGUGAGAAGAGACAGUUUAUUGAAAGCUUCUCCAUUAUAGAGUAGGACAUCCUCAGAAAGCAAGCAGACUGUCUUUAAGUUUUUCUUACAUAGGGGUCUUAUCGAUGUAAAGACUAAGCUGUGCCUAUGUGAGGGUGAGCAGACAGCAUGACAAAAUUUAUUAUUCUGUUGAUUUAAAGAAAACAAUCCUUGACAUUUUAGUGCAUGAAUACAUCAAAGAAUUAUGUUAAUCAUCUCAAAAACAUAUAUUGUUAUGGGUAUUGAGACAUCUGGACUUUCUACUGUUGUAGGAGUGUGUCAUUGUAAGUAUCUUUAGGUUGUUUCCUCAACUGUAAAUAUCUUAUGACUGGGUCAUGACUGGCAAGGAACGUGCCUUGCUAGUCUCAAGAUGGAGCUGAAUUUAAAAUGGUGUUACUCUGGCUCUCCUGAGCUCCUGCUUCCCCAACAUUUCCCCCUCUACUUAUGAGAGAACCCUUAACCUUAAGGGGAGAUAAAGGGUGAAGGUUGUUCUUUUGUAACUCCUUCCUGGAGGCAGUAGAUGUUGAUGGUUGGGACAGGGUCUUCUCAUAAUAGUGUGCAGUGAGCCUCUUCAGGGAGUAAGGGAGCUCCUUGCUUGCAUGAUAUCCCAAUUGUUUCUAGAAAGUUAAUAUACUAGGUUAGUAAAUAGAAAGGUGAAACAGCUGCUAAACUAUUUUAUCUUGCAACCCUAUACAAUAAACACAACAGAAAUAAAAGCACAAUAACUAAUAACAAUGAAUAUUAUAAUACCAAGCAUACUGAAAAGAAAUGCUUUCCAAGUGCUGGAAAGCUCAUGAAACUAUGCUGUUAUGGGGUCAUAAGACCGGGAAUCCAUAGCCAAAAUACAAGUUUCUAGAGAACUCAUGUCCUGGGAUAUAUUAUGGCAGUAAUCAGGAACAUAAUAUUCAGUUUUGUUCAAGACACAAGUUCCUCCCUUGGCUGCAGUUAAAGAAUGUAUAAAGCCAUAUGGUUUUGCAAGCCCACUGGUCUUAUUUGGGAAGUUUCUCCUGUCAGAAGUGUGAUAGCCUGAUGAGUGUCAUUGAAAGCCGCACCAGUAUGUUUUGCUAGAGCUUUUAUUUGUAAUUCAAUGUCUAUAGCUGCUGCUUGAAGAGAGAAUAUGGCCAUAGGAUAAAACCACCAAGAAGCCUGUUUUGUCAUCAACUAUGGUGGGCCUUGACUAUUUUUCAGUUGGUGAGGAAGGAAUUUAGAUGUAUAACAAUAUGUCGUAGAAGGUAAUGUUGACCCCUAGUACAUUGUCCAGUCCAGUUGUAAGGUAGGUAUAGCCAAUUGUGAGACCCAUGUGCCCAUAACCAUCCCCAAGGAGAAGGAUGAGCAUGCAAUCUUAGAGAUUUAUUUUGCCAUUCUGUCCACUUUGAUUAGUUAAGACCAGGGUCUGAUUGCAUUGUUGGGUGGCAACCACCCCAUGUUGUAGGUUUCAGCCUGGAAGUGGCUGGUGUCAUGUCUCUCAAGGCAUAAGAGUACUUUACCUGUCACCUGAAUUUGGGUAGCCAUUAAUCAACUAAGCCCAUCAAAAAUGGUAUAGCCUAAAGUGGUGAUGUUAUUUAGUUAUCUACAGAAUAAUUGAAAAAGGUGUUUUUUUUGUUUGUUUCAGUAGAGGAAGGGAAGGAUAGUGGCUGGUGUCUUUUU